RNAcentral lists this ribosomal RNA (230 nucleotides) under uncultured bacterium. Its description in RNAcentral is "partial 16S ribosomal RNA". It matches the Rfam family "Bacterial small subunit ribosomal RNA", at positions 521 to 750 of the family's 1533-position model. The record is from RNAcentral.
UAAGACGAACUGUCCAAACGUUGUUCGGAAUCACUGGGCUUAAAGGGCGCGUAGGCGGUCGAUCAAGUCAGGGGUGAAAUCCUGCAGCUUAACUGUAGAAGUGCCUUUGAUACUGGUCGUCUCGAGGGAGGUAGGGGUGUGUGGAACUUCCAGUGGAGCGGUGAAAUGCGUUGAUAUUGGAAGGAACGCCGGAGGCGAAAGCGACGCACUGGACCUCUUCUGACGCUGAG